This 1430-nucleotide long non-coding RNA is filed under the name Macaca fascicularis (crab-eating macaque). RNAcentral describes it as "lncRNA (ENSMFAG00000064146.1)". Lineage: Eukaryota; Metazoa; Chordata; Mammalia; Primates; Cercopithecidae. The record is from RNAcentral.
UUUUAUUAAGCAAUACCUUUAUUAUUUUUGAAUAUUCUUAACAGACUGGAACAAAACAUUUUUUUUCAAAACAAAAUAUGCAUACUGUACGCAUGUUGCAGGGUUAAGUAUGAUGCAGAGGUUAAAGUCUGUUUGAACAAAAACAAAUGCCCAGGGAAAUUUCAUAGCUAUAAAGUUAAUAACUAAAUUUUGUUCGCUAAGAGGACCUUUUCUAUGGAUUUCCUUCAUCUCUCAGUCACACUGCAAACUUAUCUGAAGUGCACUUCCCAAGUGUAGUUAGAGAAUAGGAAGGAAUGUAAAAUGUUUUUUUUUAAUUAUUUGUUUUGUUUGUUUGUUUUUUUUUUAAAAACAGCCCUUAUUAACUCUUCCUUCCACUGAUUCUACUGUAAACUCAUAAAAGCCUUUUAUAGAAAGCAAAUUCAUAUACACUCAGCAGGUGAAAUGUUCCCACAAAGAAAAAAAAAUACAGAGUGAUCAGACCUCUUUUCCUCAACUACCUAGAGCAUGUUAGAGUGAUAAAGUUUUUGCACAUUAAUAAAAAUGGCUGAACUAUUUAUUUUUUUAAAAAGAAGUUGUUCCUCUGUGAUAAUGCAGAAUUGCAUACACUGUAUACCUGGAAUAAUUUUAAACCAUAUGUUAGGGAAAUACUGGAAUAAAAUUGUAUAUAUUCUGUAUAUUGCAGGUGUUUGAGCAUUUCUAGUGUCUCUUCCACAACAAUAAGGGAGGAAAAGAAGUCCAGAUAUGUGUCCGCAAUCCCUUUGUUCCCUGUAAUUACAAUGGCCAAAAUGUGCUCGUAUAUUACUGCAACAGAACUGAAAUCACAAUGAAAGCCCACCUCCAUUGUCAAAGGAAAAAACUUCCUCACUCCCUGCAUCCUGAUUCUAGAUAGCUGCUCCUGUCCAACUGGACCAGCAAGAAAGGGCUGGGCCACUUGGGGAUGGGAACUGGAGCAAUACAGUUCAUGAUAGUGUUUUUUUUUUAAUUUUUUUCCUUUUAUUUAGUUUUCAACAUAAAAAUGUGUUAACUGUCUGAUUCCACCUAUUAUGGAGAGCACUUGUUUGUUCAGCUAAAAAGGAACUCCUGCCAGGCCCCCUUGGCUCCGCUCUGGUUUGGGUUUGUGCAACAGGGGCUCAGAGGCCCACCAAGUGUGCACACCCGUUCACUGUGGUUACACAGACAGAAGCAAGCGGAUGUUGUUUGCUUAGGGGACGAGAAGAGGGCGAGGGAAAGGAAAGGCCGGGAAGGGUAUUGGUUCUGUGGGUAGAAGGGAGACUUAGGGAUUUUUUUUAUUUUUAUUUUUUGUUGUUUUCUUUUUUUUGUCUUUUUUAUUUUUUAUUCUUUUUUUGUUGUUGUUUUUUGCUAUACCAUGAGGUCAUAGCAAUCAUUCCUCUAAUAGAAACUGACAGGACAUAAAGACAGAACUAUCUGAU